GGCAAGAUGGCCGAGCGGUCUAAGGCGCCAGACUCAAGCGAAAAGUUUCCCUGGUUUCAAUCAGGGUUAGCCUUCUGGUCUCGAAAGAGGCGGGGGUUCGAAUCCCCCUCUUGUCA
Non-coding RNA from Trichophaea hybrida, 116 nucleotides. The record is from the annotation of a GenBank genome assembly. Lineage: Eukaryota; Fungi; Ascomycota; Pezizomycetes; Pezizales; Pyronemataceae.